RNAcentral lists this transfer RNA (68 nucleotides) under Conus canariensis. RNAcentral's name for it is "Kalloconus canariensis tRNA-Glu". Lineage: Eukaryota; Metazoa; Mollusca; Gastropoda; Neogastropoda; Conidae. The record is from RNAcentral.
UAUUCUAGAUAGAUUCUCUUCUAUACUUUUAGGAUGAAAACCUAAUGUGCAAGUUACACCUCAAGAAC